Molecule: ribosomal RNA, 1448 nt
Filed under: uncultured prokaryote
Description: partial 16S ribosomal RNA
Rfam family: Bacterial small subunit ribosomal RNA
Source: RNAcentral
GCCUAACACAUGCAAGUCGAACGGGAAGCACUUUCGAGUGCGGAGAGUGGCGCACGGGUGAGUAACACGUAGCUGACCUGCCCCAAAGAGGGGGAUAACGCUCGGAAACGGGCGCUAAUACCCCAUAAGCUCACGGUGAUUAGAAGACAGUGAGAAAAGCUCAGGCGCUUGGGGAGGAGGCUGCGGCCCAUCAGCUAGUUGGUAAGGUAAAAGCUUACCAAGGCAAAGACGGGUAGGGGACCUGAGAGGGUGACCCCCCACACUGGGACUGAGACACGGCCCAGACUCCUACGGGAGGCAGCAGUGAGGGAUAUUGCACAAUGGGCGCAAGCCUGAUGCAGCAACGCCGCGUGGGUGAAGAAGGCCUUCGGGUCGUAAAGCCCUUUUCUGGGUGACGAGAGAGGACGGUAGCCCAGGAAUAAGUCUCGGCUAACUACGUGCCAGCAGCCGCGGUAAAACGUAGGAGGCGAACGUUAUCCGGAGUUACUGGGCGUAAAGCGCGUGUAGGCGGCGUGACAAGUCCGGCGUGAAAGCCCCCGGCUAAACUGGGGGAGGUCGCAGGAAACUGGUCAUCUAGAGGGCGAUAGAGGGGCGUAGAAUUCCGGGUGUAGUGGUGAAAUGCGUAGAUAUCCGGAGGACACCGGAGGCGAAGGCGGUGUCCUGGGCCGAAACUGACGCUGAGACGCGAAAGCGUGGGGAGCGAACGGGAUUAGAAACCCCGUAGUCCAUGCCGUAAACGAUGCGCACUAGAUGUUCGCUUGCCUACGGUCGGGUGAGCGUCGCAGCCAACGCGAUAAGUGUGCCGCCUGGGGAGUACGGUCGCAAGGCUAAACUCAAAGGAAUUGACGGGGGCCCGCACAAGCAGCGGAGCGUGUGGUUUAAUUCGAGGCUACGCGAAGAACCUUACCUGGGUUUGACAUCCCACGAAUGAACCGGAAACGGGGAAGUCCUUCGGAGAGCUAUCACAGGUGCUGCAUGGUUGUCGUCAGCUCGUGCCGUGAGGUGUUCGGUUAAGUCCGCAAACGAGCGCAACCCUCGGCGUUAGUUACAAGUGUCUAGCGCGACUGCCCGUGACAAACGGGAGGAAGGUGGGGAUGACGUCAAAUCAGCAUGGCCUUUAUAUCCAGGGCUACACACACGCUACAAUGGUCGGUACAAUGGGUCGCGAAGCCGCGAGGUGGAGCCAAUCCUCUAAAGCCGAUCUCAGUUCGGAUUGCAGGCUGCAACUCGCCUGCAUGAAGUCGGAGUUGCUAGUAACCGCGUAUCAGCACGGCGCGGUGAAUACGUUCCCGGGCCUUGUACACACCGCCCGUCACGUCAUGGAAGCGGGUCACGCCUAAAGUCGGGAAGCUAACCUAACGGAGGCUACUGCCUAGGGCAGGAUUGGUGACUGGGACGAAGUCGUAACAAGGUAGCUGUAGCGGAAGCUGCGGCUGGAUCACCUCCUU